UACGAAGGGGGCUAGCGUUGUUCGGAAUUACUGGGCGUAAAGGGCUCGUAGGUGGCCAACUAAGUCAGACGUGAAAUCCCUCGGCUUAACCGGGGAACUGCGUCUGAUACUGGAUGGCUUGAGUUUGGGAGAGGGACGCGGAAUUCCAGGUGUAGCGGUGAAAUGCGUAGAUAUCUGGAGGAACACCGGUGGCGAAGGCGGCGUCCUGGACCAACACUGACACUGGGGAGCGAAAGCCAGGGGAGCAAACGGG
Molecule: ribosomal RNA, 253 nt
Filed under: uncultured bacterium
Lineage: Bacteria
Description: partial 16S ribosomal RNA
Rfam family: Bacterial small subunit ribosomal RNA
Source: RNAcentral